GACUACACCUCCCCCACCCUCCUGCAGCAGGGUGGAUCCCACCUAGCGGGACUCCCCACCCACCCCUCCAGGCCUUCUCCACUCCGGACUCUGGCCACUUGCCACCGUUGUCGCCCGCCGCCGCUGCAGGGAGGGUGCACGGAGGGAGCAGACCGUCUCCGGAGCCCGCCGCCCUGGGGGCUGCAGUGAUGGGGCCGGGCUGAGGCACCUGCCGGCGGGGUAGCAGGGCAGUCGAGCACGGAGGGAGGGGCGGGCCUCCAGGGGACUUCAGCGGGAGCCGGGCCUGGGGCGGUGCCGCACUUGCACACGGAGUGUGGGGGGCCAGGCCUGGGACCAGGAGCUGGGGCCGGGCUUCGGCGCAGAGGCAGGAAGAGGAAGCGGCACCCGCUUCGGGGACCCAGCCGGCGGCCAGGCCACCGCGCCCACCCGGCCGAUGGCACCGUGUUCCUGCGCCUCGGGAGGGAGGAGGCUCUGCGCGGGACUGCAGGUUCUGCCCCGCAUCGGAGUGAUCGCUGAGCCUGACGCUCUCGAAGGCUGGGCCUGGGGCCCGCAAUCUACUCCGGAGGCUUUCCCACUGGGCAGGGUCGCUAGCAGGGUGCCACCCGGGUGCAGUGAGGACCUGGAGCCCCUGCCCCAGGCUGUGAGGAGACUUGACCAGAGCUGCCUGAAUGCUCCACGGAGCAGGUGGGAGCCCACCCUCCCAGGUGCAGGACCCGGGAGUCUCUGCACUCUGCACCCUCGGGGGCCCAGGGGACCCCCUUGCCCUUGCAGGCUUGUAUCUGCUCCUGCUGCCUAGCCUCUCCCCACUGCCGGCGCCUGCCUGGAUCUCGGAGCAGGGUUGGGGCCGUGCCCCAGCACUGACAGCCCGGCCAGGUGUGUGCACACACGGGGCAGUGCUGAUAUGCCAGUCACCUGCCACCUCGGCCGCCUCCGGACCUUGGGCACCAAAAAGCACUUUUUAAAAAUAUACUUUAAGUUAUGGGAUACAUGUGCAGAACGUGCAGGUUUGUUACAUAGGUAUACACGUGCCAUGGUGGUUUGCUGCACCCAUCAACCCGUCAUCUACAUCAGGUAUUUCUCCUAAUGUUAUCCCUCCUCUAGCCCACCAUCCCCUGACAGGCCCCGGUGUGUGAUGUUCCCUUCCCUGUGUCCAUGUGUUCUCAAUGUUCAACUCCCGCUUAUGACUGAGAACAUGCAGUGUUUGGUUUUCUGUUCCUAUGUUAGUUUGCUGAGAAUGAUGGUUUCCAGCUUCAUCCAUGUCCCCGCAAAGGAUAUGAACCCAUCCUUUUUUAUGGCUGCAUAGUAUUCCAUGGGAUAUAUGUGCCACAUUUUCUUUAUCCAGUCUAUCAUUGAUGGGCAUUUGGGUUGGUUCCAAGUCUU
Molecule: long non-coding RNA, 1380 nt
Filed under: Homo sapiens (human)
Lineage: Eukaryota; Metazoa; Chordata; Mammalia; Primates; Hominidae
Description: HSALNT0299439
Source: RNAcentral